Molecule: ribosomal RNA, 462 nt
Filed under: uncultured bacterium
Lineage: Bacteria
Description: bacterial SSU rRNA
Rfam family: Bacterial small subunit ribosomal RNA
Source: RNAcentral
AACGCUGGCGGCGCGCCUAACACAUGCAAGUCGAACGGAGCAAAGAGGAGCUUGCUUUCUUGCUUAGUGGCGAACGGGUGAGUAACGCGUGAGUAACCUGCCCUGGAGUGGGGGACAACAGUUGGAAACGACUGCUAAUACCGCAUAAGCCCACGGAGCCGCAUGGCUCUGAGGGAAAAGGAGAAAUUUGCUUCAGGAUGGACUCGCGUCCAAUUAGCUAGUUGGUGAGGUAACGGCCCACCAAGGCGACGAUUGGUAGCCGGACUGAGAGAUUGAACGGCCACAUUGGGACUGAGACACGGCCCAGACUCCUACGGGAGGCAGCAGUGGGGAAUAUUGCACAAUGGGGGAAACCCUGAUGCAGCGACGCCGCGUGAGUGAAGAAGUAUUUCGGUAUGUAAAGCUCUAUCAGCAGGGAAGAACAUGACGGUACCUGACUAAGAAGCCCCGGCUAACUACGUG